This is a long non-coding RNA of Cygnus atratus (black swan), 279 nucleotides long. RefSeq lists it as uncharacterized. The transcript has 2 exons. The record is from RefSeq and is a predicted model, not a curated record. NCBI's taxonomy places the organism in Eukaryota, Metazoa, Chordata, Aves, Anseriformes, Anatidae.
CUCCUGCGGCCGCCUUGGGGUGCUUGGCGGCCUUGCGGGCCCCCUGCCCCUGCUGCACGAGGUGGAGGAGCUGCAAGGAUCCAAGUGUCUGCAGCUGAAGGGCAGCUCCUCCGGGAACGAGAGGGACGGAUCCCCGCUCCGGAACAAUGUCAGGCAGUGGACUUCCAGAGCACGCUUCGCCUCCGGUUAAUCCAGCCGCUGGAUAAAAUCCGUCUUGCUUUCAGCGCUUAUUUCCCCCCUUAGCAAUAAAGCAGCGAGCCGCCAACCCAAGGCAAAGAA